AGGAGUUUAGGUUAAACAGACCGAGAGCCUUCAAAGCCCUAAGUAAAUUAUAUCUAUUUAACUCCUG
This 67-nucleotide transfer RNA is filed under the name Anoura cultrata (Handley's tailless bat). Its description in RNAcentral is "tRNA-Trp". The record is from RNAcentral. Lineage: Eukaryota; Metazoa; Chordata; Mammalia; Chiroptera; Phyllostomidae.